This 633-nucleotide ribosomal RNA is filed under the name uncultured bacterium. RNAcentral describes it as "bacterial SSU rRNA". The stretch from base 1 to 540 matches the Rfam family "Bacterial small subunit ribosomal RNA", at positions 338 to 873 of the family's 1533-position model. The record is from RNAcentral.
CCUACGGGAGGCAGCAGUGGGGAAGUAUUGGACAAUGGGCGAAAGCCUGAUCCAGCAAUUCCGCGUGUGUGAAGAAGGCCUUCGGGUUGUAAAGCACUUUAGUGGGGGAAGAAACAGCUUGGCCACACCAAGCCUUGACGGUACCCCAAGAAUAAGCACCGGCUAACUCUGUGCCAGCAGCCGCGGUAAUACAGAGGGUGCAAGCGUUAAUCGGAUUUACUGGGCGUAAAGGGUGCGUAGGUGGCUAUUUAAGUCGGAUGUGAAAGCCCGGGGCUCAACCUCGGAAUUGCAUUCGAUACUGAGUGGCUAGAGUUCGGUAGAGGGCGGCGGAAUUUCCGGUGUAGCGGUGAAAUGCGUAGAUAUCGGAAGGAACAUCAAUGGCGAAGGCAGCCGCCUGGGCCUGGACUGACACUGAGGCACGAAAGCGUGGGUAGCAAACAGGAUUAGAUACCCUGGUAGUCCACGCCGUAAACGAUGAGAACUUGACGUUGGUUCGUUUUACGAAUCGGUGUCGCNGNUACGACGAUAAGUUACUCCGUCCGUCGGGUAGGUACGGCCGCGACGGUUAGUAACGUACGAACGGAAAGUUAGUACGGCGUGAGACGUGCGACGGACGACGACGAGGGAGGUAGG